AGUGAACGCUGGCGGCGUGCUUAACACAUGCAAGUCGAACGAGAACGGGCUAUAGCUUGCUAUAGUUGUCAGCUAAGUGGCGCACGGGUGAGUAAUGUAUAGGUAAUAUGCCUCUUACUAAGGGAUAACAAAUGGAAACGUUUGCUAAUACCUUAUACUCCUUAUUAACAGAAGUUAAUAAGGGAAAGAUUUAUUGGUAAGAGAUUAGCCUGUAUUGUAUCAGUUAGUUGGUGGGGUAAUGGCCUACCAAGACUAUGACACAUAACUGGUUUGAGAGGAUGAUCAGUCACACUGGAACUGAGACACGGUCCAGACUCCUACGGGAGGCAGCAGUGGGGAAUAUUGCACAAUGGACGAAAGUCUGAUGCAGCAACGCCGCGUGGAGGAUGACACAUCUCGGUGCGUAAACUCCUUUUAUAUGAGAAGAUAAUGACGGUAUUAUAUGAAUAAGCACCGGCUAACUCCGUGCCAGCAGCCGCCGUAA
RNAcentral lists this ribosomal RNA (484 nucleotides) under uncultured bacterium. RNAcentral's name for it is "partial 16S ribosomal RNA". It matches the Rfam family "Bacterial small subunit ribosomal RNA", at positions 29 to 523 of the family's 1533-position model. The record is from RNAcentral.